Nicotiana tabacum (common tobacco) is the source of this 1072-nucleotide non-coding RNA. The record is from RefSeq and is a predicted model, not a curated record. NCBI's taxonomy places the organism in Eukaryota, Viridiplantae, Streptophyta, Magnoliopsida, Solanales, Solanaceae.
CUAUGAUAUCUCUGCGUAGCGGGAAUAUGUGAGAAAUCGACUCAAUGCAGGGACUUUUAAGAAGACCACAGUACAAGUUUUAAUGGCUCUAGAACUCAGGUGGAGCUGAAAUUCCAAAUGCUAAAUGUGUUAAGAUACACACAACAUCGGCAAACAUUAUGCUUUUUGUUGCAAAAGCUAUGUGUCGUACUUUCUCCUGUAUCCAUAUGUCCUUAAUACUUUUUGGAUGGAGUCCUCUUUUUUGUUUGAUCUGGAUAAUUCCAUUCGAAGUGGUCAGCUGCUGAUAUCAAUUUCAGGAACUGCCUGCCGAUGUGGUCCAAAGGUGACGCGAUUUUAGCACUCAUUGGAAGGCAGAUAAAUUCCAUGCCAUUCUUGAUAAAAAUAGGAAAGUUGGAUUGUUCAUUUUUAUGAAAGAAAAGCAAAGUCAGCUAUCACCUGUUUCAAGUGACAAAAGGGUAAUCGUGCUGAUUAGAAGAUUUAUUCUAUCUUAUGGAGACUAGACAGGGCCUCUUGGAAAGUAUUAAUGAGGAAUCAUUAGAAUUCAUUCUGGCGGAGGAACUGAACUAAGGAUCUGCUCUUCCAUGGUUAACAUCUGCAGCAGCUCAAGGCUUCAUAUUCCAAGCUUUUGUAUUCUACUUAAAUACGUAAACAGAAUGGAAGUGGUUACUCAAUAUUCAAUUAGCUGAAGAAGGUGAUGAUUUCACACUAUUUGGAGUCUUCUCCAUUAAUUAUGUGCAAGGCAAUGCACCUUAUUUGAUUUGAGUUUGUAGUUUACUACCAUAAUCUGUGAUAUUAGUGUGCUAUUUUUUAUUUUGUUUUAUAUUUUUUCCUAACUUGAGGGAGUUGGGAUCUUAGUAACUGCUAGAUUUUGUUUGGUCCCCAGGUCCCUUGGCUUUAUGAAUUUAAAAAGCUUAUUGCAAGGAUCAAUCACUGGCUUUUUUAACGAAGAUAUGCAUUUGAGAUUUCAAUUGUCCUGUUGAGGAUUUGUGUGCAUGGGAAUAUGGCCAGCUCUAGCUGUUGUAGAAGGUAUGCUGCUUAUCUGCUAAUGUCUGUGAUGAUGUCCAUCUCAUUG